UAACUUUCUAGCCACACCACAUGCACGCCCAUGCCACACAGGGGGCACAAGAGUGGCCAUGAAAAUAACUACCACGGGUGUGGCUUUUGCUCGCCACAAUUCUGGUUCCAUUUUUUCUAAGCACGGCCGGGCAAUGCUUUGUGAACUCCACAACCUUGCCUUCUCUUCAAAUCAUAACCUUUUUCUUUUGCUUUAUUGCACGAGUUUUUAUUCUCUUUUCCAUUUUUUUCCACAUAUGACCUUCCUAUUGCAUAUUUACCACACAACACGUGGAUUUUGUAAAAAAAAUGCAAUAUUUAGACACAAAAUUGUAUAAAAAUAUAGUAACAAAUUUACAAUUUAGACACGCAUCACCGAUCUUAAGUUAAACUAGUUUUUUUUUUUUUUUAAAUAAUCGCGUUAAAACUUAAAACUAGUUACUUCUCCUUUUAUCCAAUUGUGUUCUUUUACCCAUUUGUCAACUAGCAGGCCCACAUUGAGUUUAGUUUUUUUUCUUAGGCCUAGCAAGAAACUUGCACAUUGUAUUUGGGCUUGGCCCAUCCAUUUCAAAAACUAUAGCCAUUAGUUGAGGAUGGAUCCAUGGAUAGAUAGCCCAUAGAUCAUAAGACGAGGGCAUUUUGGUAAUAAAAAAGAAAUAACACUGAGUGAACUGCACCGUCACUCCUCACACUCACACUCACACCACACCAGAAGAAUGACACUAGGACAACAAUACACCAUCUCCAUCGAACCCGCCACUUCUCUCUCUAGCUUCUCUCUCUCUCCUCCUGGUCUUCCGUGAUGGCCGAAGGAAACGGUCCCAUGGAGAUUGCAAACAAGCUAGACACUGAAGAAACCAUCCCCUCGGCCGAACAACACUACCACUCACAAUGGCCAAUCCCGACACCACUCACCGCCAACAACAACAACAACAACAACGCAACCGCCGCUCCAAACCCCGACCCAAGCCACGAGCCAGGGUCCCCCUCACUCAGCUCCUCAAAGUCGCAUCAGUCGCCGGCGGCAUUCAGUUCGGCUGGGCCCUACAGCUCUCCCUCCUCACACCCUACGUGCAGCAGCUCGGGAUCCCGCACGCGUGGGCCAGCAUCAUAUGGCUCUGCGGCCCGCUCUCUGGGCUCUUCGUUCAGCCCUUGGUUGGCCACAUGAGUGACCGCUGCACCAACCGCUUCGGCCGCCGGAGACCGUUUAUUGUGUCCGGAGCUUUGUUUAUCAUUGUCUCUGUUCUUAUUAUUGGUCACGCCGCUGACUUGGGGUGGAGGUUUGGUGAUACUAAGACUCAUCGGCCGGCCGCCGUGGCGUUUUUCGUGUUCGGGUUUUGGAUUUUGGAUGUGGCUAACAAUGUCACUCAAGGUCCUUGUAGAGCUUUGCUUGGUGAUCUCACUGGCAAGGAUGACCGAAGGACACGUGUGGCGAAUGCCUAUUUCUCCCUAUUUAUGGCGAUUGGUAAUAUUCUUGGAUAUGCAACUGGAUCAUACAGUGGUUGGUACAAGGUCUUUCCUUUCACGCUUACCCCUGCAUGCAAUGUUAGUUGUGCGAAUCUCAAGUCUGCUUUCUUUCUCGACAUUAUUUUCAUUGUGAUCACCACCUAUAUCAGCACCGUAUCAGCCCAUGAAGUUCCUUUAAAUUCAAGUGGUGCACACCCUGUUGAAGAAGGGGCAGGAGAGUCAGGUAGUGCAGAAGAAGCUUUCCUGUGGGAGAUGUUUGGGACAUUCAAAUAUUUUUCAAAACCUAUAUGGAUAAUAUUGUCUGUUACUGCUCUAACAUGGAUUGGGUGGUUUCCAUUUCUUCUAUUUGAUACUGAUUGGAUGGGCCGGGAGAUUUAUGGUGGUGAGCCAAAUGAAGGCCCUAAUUAUGAUAUUGGAGUUAGAAUGGGGGCACUUGGUUUAGUGCUUAAUUCAGUUGUUCUUGGAAUAACAUCGCUACUCAUGGAGAGGCUAUGCAGGAACCGGGGGGCUGGGUUUGUGUGGGGAGUCUCAAAUAUCCUAAUGGCUGUCUGCUUUGUUGCAAUGCUUGUAGUAACCUAUGUGGCAAACUAUAUUGGCUAUGUAGGCAAACAUUUACCACCAACUAGCAUCGUGAUAGCUUCAUUGAUGAUCUUUACCAUUCUUGGGUUUCCCCUGGCAAUCACUUACAGUGUUCCUUAUGCCUUAAUAUCCACGCAUAUUCAGCCAUUGGGGCUUGGCCAAGGAUUGUCAAUGGGAAUCCUAAAUCUUGCAAUAGUGUUCCCACAGAUGGUGGUGUCUUUGGGAAGUGGACCAUGGGAUCAGCUAUUUGGUGGAGGAAACUCUCCAGCCUUUGCUGUGGCAGCUGUUGCAGCCCUCAUCAGUGGACUCAUAGCUGUCUUGGCCAUUCCUCGAUCUGGUGGUCAAAGGCCUAGAAGCCAAGUAUGAGGUAUCAUGUUCUUUCUGCUUUUGGCACAGAUUUCAUUCGAAGAGAGAUUAAGAAAAUGAACAGGUUCCAAAAUUACUCAUGGGCAACAUCCUUUCCAACCACGGUGAGUUGCUGCUGAAUUGGAAUUAUUCCACAUAAAAUGUUCUUUUAUUUUGAGGCAAUGCUGAUUAUAAUGCGUCUGUGCUUCAAGCAUGAUGAAUAUCUUUCCAAAAAAAAGUAUGAUGUAUUAAAAUCUUAAAAAAAUGUUUCAUUUGUUUGUAGUACUAGUAUUAGUUUGAUGGAUGUUCUUAGUGGCCAACAUUGAAUAUGUUAAUUGUGCUGGUGGAAAGCUUGAUUGAGACACGGUUUUAGUGCUCCUGGGUAUAACAUUUUUCUUUAAACAUAAUUCUUGAACGACGGGUUUGAUAUAAUGGUCAUUUAAUUUAUUUUGCUUCUUUUGAACCAUGGAAUAAAUUCCAGUAUU
This is an RNA transcript of Lotus japonicus, 2854 nucleotides long. It is a transcript of the gene named sucrose transport protein SUC4-like, with no coding region annotated. Lineage: Eukaryota; Viridiplantae; Streptophyta; Magnoliopsida; Fabales; Fabaceae. The transcript is spliced from 6 exons. The record is from RefSeq and is a predicted model, not a curated record.